Molecule: ribosomal RNA, 253 nt
Filed under: uncultured bacterium
Lineage: Bacteria
Description: partial 16S ribosomal RNA
Rfam family: Bacterial small subunit ribosomal RNA
Source: RNAcentral
UACGUAGGAGGCAAGCGUUGUCCGGAAUUACUGGGCGUAAAGGGCGCGUAGGCGGUACUUCAAGUCAGGCGUGAAAGCCCCGGGCUCAACCUGGGAACCGCGCUUGAGACUGGAGAACUAGAGUUCGGGAGAGGAUGGUGGAAUUCCCAGUGUAGAGGUGAAAUUCGUAGAUAUUGGGAAGAACACCGAUGGCGAAGGCAGCCAUCUGGACCGACACUGACGCUGAGGCGCGAAAGCGUGGGGAGCAAACAGG